Molecule: ribosomal RNA, 248 nt
Filed under: Bodo sp.
Lineage: Eukaryota; Euglenozoa; Kinetoplastea; Eubodonida; Bodonidae
Description: partial small subunit ribosomal RNA
Rfam family: Eukaryotic small subunit ribosomal RNA
Source: RNAcentral
AGCCUGAGAAAUAGCUACCACUUCUACGGAGGGCAGCAGGCGCGCAAAUUGCCCAAUGCCAAAAAAUGAUGAGGCAGCGAAAAGAAAUAGGUCUCCUAAACAUCUAUUCGGUGUUUGGGAGUUGCAAUGGGGGAUAUUUAAAACCAUCCAAAAUCGAGUAACAAUUGGAGGACAAGUCUGGUGCCAGCACCCGCGGUAAUUCCAGCUCCAAGAGCAUAUAUUAACGCUGUUGCUGUUAAAGGGUUCGA